This 311-nucleotide ribosomal RNA is filed under the name Clostridium botulinum. Its description in RNAcentral is "bacterial SSU rRNA". It matches the Rfam family "Bacterial small subunit ribosomal RNA", at positions 1 to 309 of the family's 1533-position model. The record is from RNAcentral. Lineage: Bacteria; Bacillati; Bacillota; Clostridia; Eubacteriales; Clostridiaceae.
UUUAAAUUUAGAGUUUGAUCCUGGCUCAGGACGAACGCUGGCGGCGUGCUUAACACAUGCAAGUCGAGCGAUGAAGCUUUCUUCGGGAAGUGGAUUAGCGGCGGACGGGUGAGUAACACGUGGGUAACCUGCCUCAAAGUGGGGGAUAGCCUUCCGAAAGGAAGAUUAAUACCGCAUAAUAUAGGAGAAUCGCAUGAUUUUCUUAUCAAAGAUUUAUUGCUUUGAGAUGGACCCGCGGCGCAUUAGCUAGUUGGUAAGGUAACGGCUUACCAAGGCAACGAUGCGUAGCCGACCUGAGAGGGUGAUCGGCC